UAAGGAAUAUUGCGCAAUGGGGGAAACCCUGACGCAGCAACGCCGCGUGGAGGAUGACACUUUUCGGAGCGUAAACUCCUUUUAUCAGGAAAGAAUAAUGACGGUACCUGAUGAAUAAGCACCGGCUAACUCCGUGCCAGCAGCCGCGGUAAUACGGGGGGUGCAAGCGUUACUCGGAAUCACUGGGCGUAAAGGACGCGUAGGCGGAUUAUCAAGUCUUUUGUGAAAUCUAGUGGCUUAACCACUAAACUGCUUAGGAAACUGAUAGUCUAGAGUAGGGGAGAGGUAGAUGGAAUUCUUGGUGUAGGGGUAAAAUCCGUAGAGAUCAAGAAGAAUACCCAUUGCGAAAGCGAGCUGCUGGAACCUAACUGACGCUGAGGCGUGAAAGCGUGGGUAGCAAACAGG
Molecule: ribosomal RNA, 405 nt
Filed under: bacterium
Lineage: Bacteria
Description: partial 16S ribosomal RNA
Rfam family: Bacterial small subunit ribosomal RNA
Source: RNAcentral